This is a long non-coding RNA of Helianthus annuus (common sunflower), 801 nucleotides long. RefSeq lists it as uncharacterized. The record is from RefSeq and is a predicted model, not a curated record. NCBI's taxonomy places the organism in Eukaryota, Viridiplantae, Streptophyta, Magnoliopsida, Asterales, Asteraceae. The transcript has 5 exons.
GCCCACUUUCCCCAAUAUUCAUCUUUUCCCUCCAAAUGCCAUUUAACUUCCCCCAAUCUCCAUUGUCUCAGAACAUUCAUCCCUUUCCAUCCAUUCCCUGAAGACGUCAAGUCGAGCUCCCCUUCUCUCCGUUCUCUUUCAUCUCCACCGAUGAUGACCAGUCCACUCUCCAAGUCACCACAAGCGUUCUCCUCACCGGUGACAUUUCCGUCUUCCUCUUCUUCUCCUCCCGUCUCCGAGCAAAGUGCCAAAGAACUGGUCUGCGUUGAGCUCAUAAGUGUUGGAUCUUUGUCUGCUUGCUUUAGAUUAGAUGGUUCAUCAAUAUCUCAUCAUGUAUCGCUGGUUGCUGGUGGAUUCUCUUAUUCAUCACUCAAGAAUUGGGAUAUUGCAAAACUUGGGUGUAUGGCAGUUGUAAGUUGUUUUGAACCUGUUCGGGGCUGCUAUGAUAUGAAGGUUGCAAGCUUUUGAUUUGGGUUGUUUCGGUGGAGGAAUCGACCCGUCAUCGAUGGUAAAUAAGUUAAGGGGCUGCUGCGUUUGGUUCCUGUUUACUGCAAGAUAAAGGGUUUAAACUACUUGUUUUGGUGGAAAAUUGGACCUACAAUCUUCGGCAAUUUCUACGGUUUCGGUUGCAAGUAUGAAUUGAAGACGUCGGUUUGGGUUGCAUGUAUGAAGGCAUCGGUUCGGGAAGUUAUUGUAUAUCACUUUCAUCUUUAGAGAUAUAUGUAUUUGUGUUACUUUGAAACUUUUGUAAUUGUGUCACUUUGAAACCUUUGUAAUUUAUAUUCUUGGGGUUAUUUUAAA